This 402-nucleotide ribosomal RNA is filed under the name Acalles sp. JJA-2007. Its description in RNAcentral is "eukaryotic LSU rRNA". It matches the Rfam family "Eukaryotic large subunit ribosomal RNA", at positions 1340 to 1663 of the family's 3401-position model. Lineage: Eukaryota; Metazoa; Arthropoda; Insecta; Coleoptera; Curculionidae. The record is from RNAcentral.
GCUUAUACUCGACCGUCAGCGGCAUAGGUGCGCGAGAUUGUCGUUUACGCGGCCGUUUCGCGCACGCGAAGCCCUGACGAGUAGGAGGGUCGCGGCGGUGAGCGCAGAAGGGCUGGCCGCGAGGCCGUCUGGAGCCGCCGUCGGUGCAGAUCUUGGUGGUAGUAGCAAAUACUCCAGCGAGGCCCUGGAGGACUGACGUGGAGAAGGGUUUCGUGUGAACAGCCGUUGCACACGAGUCAGUCGAUCCUAAGCCCUAGGCGAAAGCCGAUGUUGAUGCGGUGUAGAUUUAUUAUUAUCGAGAUUAUAGAGGAUAACGAUGAUCUAUACAAACACACCCAUUGGGCGAAAGGGAAUCCGGUUCCUAUUCCGGAACCUGGCAGCGGAACCGUCAAAAAGUCGGGC